AGGGUUUGAUCCUGGCUCAGAAUGAACGCUGGCGGCGUGCCUAACACAUGCAAGUCGAGCGAGAAAGUUCCCUUCGGGGAGCGAGUAAAGCGGCGAACGGGUGAGUAACACGUGGACAACCUGCCUUGGAGUGGGGGAUAACCUGGGGAAACUCGGGCUAAUACCGCAUACGUCUCGAGAACUUCGGUUCGAGAGGGAAAGCUGGCCAAUACUUGUAAGCUGGCGCUCCUUGAGGGGUCCGCGUACGAUUAGCUUGUUGGUGAGGUAACGGCUCACCAAGGCGACGAUCGAUAGCCGGCCUGAGAGGGUGAUCGGCCACACUGGGACUGAGACACGGCCCAGACUCCUACGGGAGGCAGCAGUGGGGAAUAUUGGACAAUGGGGGAAACCCUGAUCCAGCAACGCCGCGUGGAGGACGAAGGCCUUCGGGUCGUAAACUCCUGUCAGAUGGGACGAAAAGGCGUCGGUAAAUAGCCGGCGCACCUGACGGUACCACCAGAGGAAGCCCCGGCUAACUCCGUGCCAGCAGCCGCGGUAAUACGGAGGGGGCAAGCGUUAUUCGUGAAUUACUGGGCGUAAAGGGGUGCGUAGGCGGCCCUGGUAAGUCAAAGGUGAAAUCCCUCGGGCUCCACCUGAGGAACUGCCCUUUGAAACUA
This 656-nucleotide ribosomal RNA is filed under the name uncultured bacterium. Its description in RNAcentral is "bacterial SSU rRNA". It matches the Rfam family "Bacterial small subunit ribosomal RNA", at positions 8 to 635 of the family's 1533-position model. The record is from RNAcentral.